AGUUCCUUCGUGAAAUUGGUAAACACACUAGUCUAAUAAACUGGCAUUUGCAGGUUCGAGCCCUGCAGGAUAAA
RNAcentral lists this transfer RNA (74 nucleotides) under Hydrotalea sp. AMD. RNAcentral describes it as "tRNA-Ile". It matches the Rfam family "tRNA". From Rfam's summary of the family: Transfer RNA (tRNA) molecules are approximately 80 nucleotides in length. The record is from RNAcentral. Lineage: Bacteria; Pseudomonadati; Bacteroidota; Chitinophagia; Chitinophagales; Chitinophagaceae.